UAUUCAGUUAAAUGUCCAACUCUGCAUUUUCCCACUAUAGACAUCAGUAGCUAAAUAGCAGCAUAAUUUUUCAUUCAGUAUUUCUGAAUUUCUGUAUUUUCUGAGCUGUAUUUAAACACAACACUAAUAUCGGAGUACAAACUGGAGAUUUAAUUGAACAAAAGAAAUAUUAUGACUAGUCUAACUAGCAGCAUCUGGCCUUUAAAAAUCAUCAGUAGCUCCUCAGUGGUGGCAAUAGGAAAAAUAAUAACUGUUAUAAUAGUUUAGAGGUGCUUUAAUUUUCAGCUUUAAAAUAAAUUUGAGUUUGACAAUAUCUCUGAAAAUUGUCUCAGUUCCCAAUGUUACAAAUAUUACUGCUGCUGCUGUUGAGCAGAAAUGCUUAGCAGAGUGUUUUUGUAGCAGCUAAACUGGAUGGUGAUUUCCCAUUGUAGAUUCUCAGCUGUGAAACAGGAGAGAGGUAUAGAGAAAAGCUGUCCAACUUGAUCUGCAGUUAAUACCCAGGAACUAGUUCCUUACUGAGCAGUUGUAGGGUAGAAAAUGCAGGACUUUAUAUUGCUAUUUUGCAAAACUUCCUACAAACACUCUCUCUCAAAACAAACAAAACAAUAUUUUCCUAGGAUCCACUUUUACAAACUAGAGAAUAGGGCCUAAAAUACAAAGUACUUUCUGUCUGUAAUAUCGCUUAAAAUCCUUGUAGAAUACUACACUUUUAUUAUACAUUAACGUUGGCAACAGCAGCUGGAUACACACGUAGCAACGUGCACAAAAGGAAAUUAAUUAGGAGCAGGUAAAGACUUCUGUUUCGGAGAUUUCAAUGCUAAGACAUAAACUGUGCUUUAGCAACUGUACGUAUGUGUUCUUCAGAUUUCCCAAGGAAAUGGGACGGGGUGUGAGUGCUCACAGCCCCGUAUCCCCCGCACGAGGGGCCGGAGCGCGAUUGCCUGUGCCGGGCAGGAGCCCGCAAAACUGAAAGCAGGUAGAGGCACUUCCUGCAGGGAGAAUUAAAGAGAGAGAAAGGGAGUUGUCCUCUGAUCUCCCUCAAAAACCAAUCAGGCCAGAUUAGCCAGGCGUUGAUUCUCCCUCCGUCCCUCCUACACCUUUUUCAGAGGCCCAAUGGCCUUGUUCCUUUGGGAGAUUGACUAGAGUCACAUGAGCUGCACCAGGGGCAGGUAACUCAGGAGAGGGGAAGGGGGAAGGAAAAAAAAAAAAAAACACAGAGGCAAAAAAAAAAAUCACCAAGCCUAGGCUGAGCUUCUGCCAUGAUGUCAGAGGGAGAGAAACCCACAGCUUGCUAAUUUCACCUCCCAAUCAGCCCCGGGAAGGAGAGCACCGGGAACAGUUGUUUCCCCCUGUGGUCAUGACGGCUUCGCACAGUGACUCUUUGGUGGUGUUGUUUGGGGCAACAGCUGGUGCAUAUGGGGCUAAACUGGGUUCGGAUGAGAGGGAACUAAUUCUCUUGGUGUGGCAAGUUGUGGAUCUACACAGCAAGAAGGUAGGGACACUACACAAAUCCCUGGUGAAAGCAGACAACUUGGACUUAAGUGACCAGUGUCGCGAAGUCAGUGCCUUAACACCAGAGGGACUGAGCAAAGCUGAACCACUGGACCGGGUUCUUCAACAGUUUAGUCAACUGGUAUCCGGUGAUUUGAAAGUACUUGGAAGGAGCUCUUACACACUCUGCAGUGAUGGCCAGUUACUCAUUCGGCAAGUCCUCCACCCAGAAACAUCCAAAAAGAACUUCCCGCUGUCAGACUGCUUCUAUUCCUUUUAUGAUCUGCGCAAAGAAUUUCACACUUGCUACCCUAGUUCAGCUGCCGUGAAAGAUCAGACUAUCAAGACCAUGGCAGAAUAUCUAGGCUUAGGGACAGAUGAAGCGGAGGAGGACUUUGGCGUGUGGCAAGUGAAAACCAUGGUGGCUAUCAUUUUCAGCAUGCUCUCUGAAGGUUGUAAUCACGUGUUUACUGAGCCUGAAACUGUGAAAUCCAAGUAUGAAACAGGCCCUUGUAGUAAAUCUGAAACUGUGGACAGUGAGACAGUAAUACGUGCCAGAGGUUUGCCAUGGCAGUCUUCAGACCAAGAUAUUGCUCGGUUUUUCAAAGGACUCAAUAUUGCCAAAGGUGGUGUGGCUCUUUGUCUAAAUUCUCAAGGAAGAAGAAAUGGGGAGGCAUUAGUUCGAUUUGUCAAUUCUGAACAGAGAGACCUGGCACUGGAAAGACAUAAGCAUCACAUGGGCAGCAGAUACAUUGAGGUUUACAAAGCAACUGGGGAGGAAUUCUUAAAAAUUGCAGGAGGCACCUCCAAUGAAGUGGCCCAGUUCUUAUCCAAGGAGAAUCAAGUUAUCAUCCGGAUGAGAGGCCUUCCAUUCACUGCUACGCACGAGGAUGUCUUGGGGUUCCUGGGGCCAGAGUGCCCAGUCACAGGAGGGAAAGAGGGACUUCUCUUUGUCAAGUACCCAGAUGGCAGACCCACAGGAGAUGCAUUUGUGUUAUUUUCCUGUGAAGAAUAUGCACAAAAUGCACUUAAAAAGCACAAAGAAAUACUUGGGAAACGUUACAUAGAACUCUUCAGGAGCACAGCAGCAGAAGUCCAACAGGUACUUAAUCGAUACAUGUCAACGCCUCUUAUCCCAACUCUCCCAACUCCCAUCAUUCCAGUCAUACCCCCACCCUACACCAUUGCCACGGGCAGCAUGCGUGACUGUGUCCGACUCAGAGGUCUUCCUUACACUGCUGGCAUUGAUGACAUCUUGGAAUUUAUGGGAGACGCCACAGGGGAUAUCAAGCCCCAUGGAGUUCACAUGGUCCUUAAUCAACAGGGACGACCAUCAGGUGAUGCUUUUAUCCAAAUGAAAUCUGCUGAUAAAGCCUUUAUGGUGGCUCAAAAAUGUCACAAAAAAAUGAUGAAGGACCGUUAUGUGGAAGUAUUCCAGUGUUCAGGAGAGGAGAUGAACUUUGUUUUAAUGGGUGGCACUUUAAAUCGUAGUGGCUUAUCCCCACCGCCAUGUAAGUUACCAUGUCUCUCUCCACCAGCUUAUGCUGCUUUCCAGACAGCAGCUGUCAUUCCAGCAGAGGCAGCACUGUACCAGCCACAAGCCCUGUUGCCAACCACCAGGACUCCCCAGGCCUCUGCAGCUGCUCCUCCAACUGUUACCUACUACCCAGCUCAGGCUGCUCAGCUUUAUAUGAAUUACACAGCUUACUAUCCCAGUCCUCCAGUAUCUCCUACAACAGUGGGGUACAUUGCAGCUCCUCCAGGAGCUGUAGCUGCUGCUGCCACUGCCACCCACACUCCGAUUCUGCCCCAGCCUGGAGCAUUGGUCCGUAUGCAGGGCUUGCCAUACAACACAGGAAUGAAGGAGAUACUCAGUUUCUUCCAGGGAUACCAGUGUUGCCUGUGUGGAGAAACCAUCUACGAGACUGGAACUAGUAAAUUAGUGGUUCCGGUUUCUGUCUGUCUGCCUCCCGUGCUUGAAGCAAGACUAAAGUGGCACCACCUUGAAGCCACAUUGUUGGGAACAGGCAUUCCUGGAUACAGAGACAGGCAGUCUCUGAUACACAAACCAUUCCAGUGGUGUCUCUUCCUCAGAGAAGCCAUGUGGUUGCUGGGCUGAGCCUAAGCUCUGACAACCUUGACUUUCUGUGCAGGAUAGUUUUCCCACUUUUGUGUUUUUGACAUUGUUUAUUGCAUUUCAAGUGUAACCUUUGAAAUACUGUCCCUCACAAGAACCAGUAGAUCUUUGCCUACUGUACAUCUACUGAUAAUCUAAAGUAUGUACUAUCUUGAGACAUUCUUUCCAUAGAGUAAACUUACAUUUUGUAGAUUCGUUUAAAGGGCAGGUCUGGGAACUGAUAAAUCUAAUAUUUGCACGGUCUGGUUGCCCUGGCAGAGACUAUCUAGAAAAUACUUCUUAUAUUUGUCUUUUACUUAAUGGCAUGGGUCUAGAUGUGAAGGUGACUAGAAUUCAGUAGUAAAAAUUCUGGGAGGUUCUUUCCUUUUAUGUUCUCUGGGCUCCUGGUUAUUGUUCUCUCUGAAAGGUGUAUACUGACUGUUUAUUUCUUUUCGACUUCCCUUUGGAUGGAUACAAUGUGUCCUGUAUGCCCAAAUAUAACACCUUUUUCUCCCUAAGCUGGCAGGAGACUUUUUGUAUUAUAGAAAUAUCAAAGGAAGGCAGCAUAUUGUGUGCAUUUGGCAAUCAUCUAAAAUGUUAAUACAAAACAGCCAUUUUCAGGGCAGAAAACCCUUCUUGCCACCAAAAAGGAUAUUCUAUAAUUUGCAUUAUGCUACACGCUUUGUCUUCUGGAUUAUAGGAGCCCCUCGAGUACUCUGCAGCAUGUGCAAGAAUUCUCAGUCCUUUUCCAGGAUAUGUAAUUUAGCAAGAUUAUGAGAUAAAAACAAUGUUUCAUAUUCCCCAAGAUGUAUUUUCUGACUACAUGUUUUAUAUUUGUACCAGACCAGGUAAUUCAUAGAUCUGACACAUAAAUGAAGCUUUUGUUUUAAUUUGUUGGUGUGACUGUACUGUAUAGUCACUAUUUUUAUUUUAAUGUACUACCUCUACAAAUCUAUCUUGAUGCAGUUACACUGUAUCAUUUAUUUCUUUUUUCUAUGUAGAAAUAUACUAUACUGGGAUAAAUUUUAUCUCGUAGGUGCAUUCAUGCCAGGACACUGAUUUUCUUUAAUGGCAUUGGUGUAGUCUAUGUAGUGCAAGCGUUGUAUGUAGUUAAAGUGUUUAUCACUCUACCCUAGAGAAGUUGCAGUUUAUUUCUAUGGGUGCAUAAAAGAUCUAAACGAGAUGCAUGCACUUCUACCAAUCUGCACUUCAGUUGGAAGAUGCUCAUCUGUCCCAGUGAGAGCCAUUACUGGAGGUGUGAUUAUGCUCAUGCAAACUUGAAGAGUUUGGUUACCUGAUGCUGCCAUCUCAUGAGUAGAAUGAAAAAAAAAAAAAAGGAGCACUUCAUAAUCUGAGCUAUUCCCCUUUCUCGAUAAGGAACAGUUCAAAUACAGUUCAGAAUUUCCUCCCCCAAGCAUUUGUUUUAUAUCUAUUCCUAUGACCAGUAAUACAGUUGAUGUGUAUUUUUUUUAAUCUUACAUAAAAAUAGCAUGUCAAAUUCACUGUCUCCUGCCAGUUAUUAUAGCUGAUGCUCUUAAUGAAGGUUGCAAAUGAUCAUCUGUGUGGCUUGCUGUACCAGGACUGUUCCUUCUCUUGCUGAUUAUCACAUAUCACACUUGUACUGUAGUAUGCACCCGAUGACUACAAUGGCCUUAUUCAGCUGAGCGAUCAAGCCAGGAGUGUGUUACAAGCACCGAAAGAGUGGGUCUGUUUGUAACUCUUUGUAACUUCUGAAGAAGCUCCAAGCAGAUUCCAUCCUCAUGCUUUACAACUUUAGUGGCCAGCCCAGUGGCGAGGCAUUGGUGACUUUUCCAAGCCUGGAUCUAGCUAAGAAAGCAGUGGCUGAGAAGAAUGGACAGCUCCUGGGAAGCCGCUAUGUAGAAUUGUACCUGGUCUAACUAAACACUCUUUGGGGGAUGAGGAGAGAAUGUCGCACUCAACACCGUGCCUUUUGCAAAAUCAGAAGUCUUCCCUUGCCACCCAGGCAGCAACAAAUGUGCCUUUUCAGCAUAACAAGUUGGAAUGCAGAGUGGUAAAUGUCCUGUACUUAAUUUGAAAAACGGUGCAUCCUAUGCCAAAGAUAAAGUGAAAGCAAAAUUUAUGCAGUUAAUUUACUUAAUUUCUAAUAUACUUGUGUAAAAAUAAGUAAACCAUUCCUGGCAUCUAGUUAAUUCUGAAGACAGUCUAAUAGCACUUCAGCUAUUGCAGCAUUGGGAGAAACUUAGUAGCAUUUGAAGUAGAAAGCGAAGCUUGAGUCAUUCAGAUUCUUCUAUGUUUAGUUUUUAAGAGUUUACACUGAACAAAGUGUCUCGUUUUUUGUAGAGUUUAAGUGUCUUUAGAAAGGUCUUUUGGAAUGCAUGGCUUACCCAGUUCAAAGCGUAGAUCAUAUUGAUUUUUGUUUUGUAUUGUUCUCAACUGGAAAAUAUCAGGAUGCCGGACUCCAAAUCCAAUUGUGCUUUUUCAUGUUUUCAUUAGACCUUGUUUUGCAAAAGCCAUAUUUGUCUUUCUUACCAGUGUACUGCUGCCAACAUGUAAAGCAAAAAAAAUUAAACAAACAUCAAAAUCAGAAACUCUCCCUGCCUGCCCAUAACUUGCUGCCCCCUAGCCCCAAACUUUUAAUCUCUACAGGACAAAAAUGGCACAUAAACCUGAGUACUAAUAAGUUAUAUUUUUUUAUUUAAGCAUAAUAGCUUUCAGAUACUGUAUUGAAGAUUUUGCUCUAGUUUAUGUGCAUGCAAUUUGUUUACAUCUUUAAACUACUUUAUUUGUAUAUUAUGAAACAACAAGAUAUGUUGGAAUCUGAAUUCUCUAGUGCAUGCUUUUUUCUUUUUCCCUGUGUGUAUAUACAUAAGCUAGAAGUACUUUUACGUCAUGUAGCAUGUGUUUAAAAAAAGACAUCUGCUGUAGAAGCACUAAAUGACUUUGUUUUUACUGUGCCUUACUUCAAAACCAUUCCAAGUGCAAUACCAGCAGAGCAAAAUAUAACGAAUUCUGUUGUUGACAUGUUCAUGGAUGUCUGAAUUGAUCCUUUUUGUUAGUAUACAGUUUGAGUUGUACUUUAAAGAACUGAAUGAUGUAUGCUUCUUUAUAUUACAACAAAUAAAAGAGAUGCUUACUAUGUGCAUUGGCUUUUGAAAGUACCUUAAGCUUUGGUUUAAUGUAUGCUUUGGUUUGAUGUAUUUUCACAGAACAUCAUUAUUUGAUAAAUAACCUCAUACACAUUUUUCUCUUUUAGAGUUAGAUAAGCAUUUGUAUUUUGAGUGAGUGGUGUGACUUUUGUUUUGUUUUGUUUUUUCCUUUUUGCAUGUGCUGGUAAGCCAGAAAUAUGCAUGAGGCAUGUUUCUUUUGUAGUGGAACACUUUUUAGGCAAGGGUGAUGUAACUGU
RNA transcript from Myiozetetes cayanensis, 6992 nucleotides. It is a transcript of the gene named epithelial splicing regulatory protein 2, with no coding region annotated. The transcript has 18 exons. The record is from RefSeq and is a predicted model, not a curated record. Lineage: Eukaryota; Metazoa; Chordata; Aves; Passeriformes; Tyrannidae.